GACGAACGCUGGCGGCGUGCCUAAUACAUGCAAGUCGAGCGAGCGGCGGACGGGUGAGUAAUGUAUGGGGACUGCCCGAUAGAGGGGGAUAACUACUGGAAACGGUGGCUAAUACCGCAUACUAUCGGAUAACCCAUAUGGGAUUAGCUAGUAGGCGGGGUAAAGGCUCACCUAGGCGACGAUCUCUAGCUGGUCUGAGAGGAUGAUCGGCAACACUGGAAGUGGAACAGGGCCCAGACUCCUACGGAGGCAGCAGUGGGGAAUAUUGCACAAUGGGCGAAGGCCUGAUGCAGCCAUGCCGCGUGUAUGAAGAAGGCCUUAGGGUUGUAAAGUACUUUCAGCGGGGAGGCGUUACCCGCAGAAGAAGCACCGGCUAACUCCGUGCCAGCAGCCGCGGUAAUAC
This 403-nucleotide ribosomal RNA is filed under the name uncultured bacterium. Its description in RNAcentral is "partial 16S ribosomal RNA". It matches the Rfam family "Bacterial small subunit ribosomal RNA", at positions 28 to 526 of the family's 1533-position model. The record is from RNAcentral.